RNAcentral lists this non-coding RNA (187 nucleotides) under Gammaproteobacteria bacterium. RNAcentral describes it as "6S RNA". It matches the Rfam family "6S / SsrS RNA". From Rfam's summary of the family: E. coli 6S RNA was the first non coding RNA to be sequenced, but its function was unknown until recently. It consists of 184 nucleotides that fold into an extended hairpin structure with a large single-stranded internal bulge. Lineage: Bacteria; Pseudomonadati; Pseudomonadota; Gammaproteobacteria. RNAcentral also lists the same sequence under 1 other name. The record is from RNAcentral.
UGCCCUCUGUGGUGUUCGCCGACAGGCCCGACAAAUGCCUUGUCCCUAUUUAUUGACCUCGGGUUGGCGUAUCUGAAUGCUGGUGUGCAUGUUCGCUAAAAGCGAAAAGCCUAAAGGCCAGUCAGCCAUCCCACCUGAACCUUUGGUUCAAGGUCUCCGGGUCCGUAGCGGCACCCCCGGAGGGCAC